This is a non-coding RNA of Arthromyces matolae, 105 nucleotides long. The record is from the annotation of a GenBank genome assembly. Lineage: Eukaryota; Fungi; Basidiomycota; Agaricomycetes; Agaricales; Lyophyllaceae.
GGUGAGAUGGCCGAGCGGUCCAAGGCGCCAGACUAAGGUCCGUCGCAAAAGACAGUUCUUCAUCUGGUCUCUUCGGGGGCGGGAGUUCGAAUCUCCCUCUCAUCA